CGGACGGGUGAGUAACGCGUGAGAAUCUGGCUUCAGGUCUGGGACAACCACUGGAAACGGUGGCUAAUACCGGAUGUGCCGAGAGGUGAAAGGUUAACUGCCUGAAGAUGAGCUCGCGUCUGAUUAGCUAGUUGGCAGUGUAAUGGACUACCAAGGCGACGAUCAGUAGCUGGUCUGAGAGGACGAUCAGCCACACUGGGACUGAGACACGGCCCAGACUCCUACGGGAGGCAGCAGUGGGGAAUCUUCCGCAAUGGGCGAAAGCCUGACGGAGCAAUACCGCGUGAGGGAGGAAGGCUCUUGGGUCGUAAACCUCUUUUCUCAGGGAAGAACACAAUGACGGUACCUGAGGAAUAAGCAUCGGCUAACUCCGUGCCAGCAGCCGCGGUAAUACGGAGGAUGCAAGCGUUAUCCGGAAUGAUUGGGCGUAAAGCGUCCGCAGGUGGCGAUGUAAGUCUGCUGUUAAAGCGUCUAGCUCAACUAGAUAAGAGCAGUGGAAACUACUUACGCUAGAGUGCGUUCGGGGCAGAGGGAAUUCCUGGUGUAGCGGUGAAAUGCGUAGAGAUCAGGAAGAACACCAGUGGCGAAGGCGCUCUGCUAGGCCGCAACUGACACUGAGGGACGAAAGCUAGGGGAGCGAAUGGGAUUAGAUACCCCAGUAGUC
Molecule: ribosomal RNA, 664 nt
Filed under: uncultured cyanobacterium
Lineage: Bacteria; Bacillati; Cyanobacteriota
Description: bacterial SSU rRNA
Rfam family: Bacterial small subunit ribosomal RNA
Source: RNAcentral